RNA transcript from Perognathus longimembris pacificus (Pacific pocket mouse), 3837 nucleotides. RefSeq lists it as uncharacterized. The transcript has 2 exons. The record is from RefSeq and is a predicted model, not a curated record. Lineage: Eukaryota; Metazoa; Chordata; Mammalia; Rodentia; Heteromyidae.
UCCAUCACGCGCAGGGGGCGGGGACAGAGGGACACUUUCCCUGCCAUUCUCCUGCUUUUCCAAUGAAAAAGAGGGAUUUGGCCAGAGUGGGCGGCCCUUAUCCGCCUCUUCCACGGUGGACGUCCUCCAGUAGGGUCCGGGCGAGUCGGGCUCAGCUCAGGCGAAAGGGUGAAGUGUACGUCGAUCAAAAGGCCUCACCAAUGGGUUCACGCGUUGCUCGUGGCACCCGCCCCCGCCUCGGCCUCCCGGCGCCCGCGCUGCCUUCCCUCAGGCCGCCGCGGCGGUGCCGGUCCCGCGCCUCCAUUUACGUUCAGGCUCGCUGCUCUCCGGGCGCGGUGGCUGUCGGCCACGGGCGCGAGGGCCCCUCAAUCCCCGCGGCGGUGGUGGUCACCUUUCUCUGGGAGCCUAAGGUGGGUACAGCUUACAGCAGGCAUGACGGCGAGAGCGGGGAGGUCGCCAUUUUUUCCCCUUAGACUCGCGGCAGCAGGAGGGCAGAGUUGUGGACUGGCCCGCCGCGGCCUGGAGCCCGCGGUGUGGCUCGGGACCCAUGGCGAGGCCAGGCAUCCUCUGGUGGACGGGUGGCUCCGGGACUAGUGGCGUACGAGGCUGCAGCCCUCCGGACGCGGGCGGGGGAGGGGUGCCGCGUGGCCGCGGUUGCCCUGCCCCAGCCCCCUCCGCUUCCCGCCCAGUUCCUCACCGACCGGGCGGGGGAGGGGGGGUCAUUCUUCACAUUCCUUACCCCGCCCUUCCCCCCUUCAAUCAAACUUGGGGCGGGCGGAAGUUCCGCCCCUUAGCUGGCGCCUGUUGGCUGGCGCCGCCUCUUACUGUGGCGUGACUGGUUGCGCGCGUUGCCAGGCUCCAAUGACGUCAUUUCCGCCACCAGGUUUGUGGGCCAGGGAGACCUUGGCCUUGGGGGUUGGGAUAAAGGAGGGAAGGUAGGAAGUGUGGUUGGGGGUGGGGUAGUGACCGAGCGGGAAGGCGCGGGCGGGCCAGCGUGGAGGGCGGGAGAGCCGAGGCUGGCUCUUUGCCCCGUGCUUUACUCUGCUGUGUGAGGCCUCAAGUCCCAGAGCAGCUGCGGUGGCUGGAGGUCUGUGGCGGCGGCCGUCCUUGGUGAGGGGGAAGGGAGCGCGAGAACGGGAAGAAAUUGUAUCCCGGGGGAGUGGGUGGUGGUGUUGGGGAUUUGCGGCUCGGUGUCACCGGAAACACCGCUGGCCUUUUGACUCAACGUCGCAAACUCUUGGAACCAAAUGCCUCUCCGAAGGCUAGCUAAUAAACUUCCCUAGCGCGCUUUAUCGUGAGCAAUGUGUAAGUAACCUUUAUGUCCUUGGCCAGGAACUUUUAAAAAAAGAUUUUUUUACUAUAGGUUCUGUUACGGGGUGGUGUGAAUUUUACUUUUCAACCUUUUGGCUUAAGAGAAAAAAGAUUUAAUUAGGAGAGGACUGGCAAAUGAGGAAGAAAAGAAGACCUUAGAGACAGUCUUGGCAGUGAAUCUGGGGACUAAGUUGAGAUUUCAUCUUGUAACUAUGAAAAAAUCAUGCUCUCUUGGCAGUCAAGUUGAAACAGCAUGUAGCUUCCUCAUUUGUUUUUGUUGGCCUGAAAAGUGCUAUAUAAGAAAAUUGAAUGUCAAGUUUCAAACAAGUAUGUCAUUUAGAAGAUAAUUUCCUUAGCUAGUUUUUUCUACUGAAAGGCAAACUGGUUUCCUUUACAGUAUAUCAAAGUGAAUAAAUCAGGAACGAUUUGGAAGUUAGAGCUUUAUGAGGAUGUUUUACACAGUUGUUUAGAAUAUUUGAAACUUAAGAACUUUAUGAGAAAGAAGAAAUGUCUUACCAUCUUAUAAGUCCAGUUAUGACUAAUAUAUUCCAGCAGGCCACGGCUACACAUGCAUAUAAAAUUAACGUUUGUUGAAUUUGAGACUUAGUACUUCUGCAAGUUGAAGGAGUGGAGAGAAACGAAAUACUUGGUUAUAGAACGAAAAAGUUUGUGAGUCAGAGUUCAUACAGUGAACAGGUUAAUUUCAAAUGUUACUCUAAGGGACUUUAUUUUCCCUGGUAGAAUUAACUAAACACUGCUUAACUUUAGAGUACAGCAAUGUAGAUGUUUGCCUUUUACUGUAAAAGGUAAUGUUGUAAGUGAUAAUAGUGUUGAAGUGGGAAUUAGUAUGAAGAGCAUUAAACCAGUGUCUCAAACUUUAUGGCCUGAAUCAUUGGGUUAUGAAAUCCAUUUUAUGGGUCAUCACAGAGUUUAAAGAAAAAAAGGUAAUAAGAAUACACAAAAUACUGUGUUGAUUUAGCUAUACACACCCCUACAAAAUAUUUUAUGAGUGUCAAAAAAGGUUGAAAAACAGUCCAAAGAAAGUAAUUUUCACUCAUAGCACUGGUCUUCUUCAGCCUUCUUUAUAUUCAGUGCAACAUGUUCCCCUCACUUGAGUUUUUAAUGAUGUGGGAAAUAGAUUUGCCAUUCAGGAUUAGCAUGUAUUUUAAUCAUGUACUACAUUUUUUAAUAGCCCAAGAAGUUUAGGUUGUAAAAGAUCUUUUCAGUCCUGAAUAUUAAUUGCUAAUCAUGUCUUCUGUCAGGAUGAGGCUAGAAUAAUCUGGAUCCCAGUAAUGAGUUGUCCACAUUGCCUCAUGUGACCUCAGGAGGACUGGAGUAAUAGGCCUUCUGGUCAUUACCUGAUCUUUGCCUGUGGAUUAUGGAGGCAAAGAGAACCGUCUAGUGGUGUUCAGCUGGCUUCCUUUUCAACAUUGACUCUGGAUGUUCUCUUCACUGUGGGAUGAGGUAGUAGGUUGUAUAGUUUUAGGGUCACACCCACCACUGGGAGAUAACUAUACAAUCUACUGUCUUUCCUAAGGUGAUGGAAAAGUCUGCAUUUAGGCAACUUCACGGAAAAUCAAUAACAAAAUGCUGUUUAACUCCUCUAAAGGCAUACUUUUUAUUAUCUCAUCUGUAUAUUAUAGAAUAAGUUUGUAUUUUAUUUUGGUAGAUGCUAUGAUUAUCUUUUUUUUUUUUUUUUGAGAUUUUGCUCUCUAGUCCUGAAGAAAAGAUUGCUCUGUCAGAGUGAGGUAGUAGAUUGUAUAGUUGUGGGGUAGUGAUUUUACCCUGUUAAGGAGAUAACUAUACAAUCUAUUGCCUUCCCUGACGAGUAGACUUGCUACAUAUUUUUUCUCUAAAUAUCAUGAAAGUGAUGAAUUUUGACAUUCCUUGUAUUUUCUCCUAGUGUAUGGUGAUCUAAUGUUUCUAAUUCUUAAAUAUAUUUCAGAAAACUAAAAUUAAGCAAAAAUCUUAAAGUAAGUAUGCUUCAGGAAUCCUUAAUAGAAAUCCAGGCCUGGGGAUUAAGAGCAAGUUUAUUGGUUGUGUCUAGGAUGAGAGACACUGGCUAGUCGAGGUACACACAAAUCAGAAGAGAUGUAAACUAAAUAAGAAUCACAGAGUAUUCUCACUGAGUUUCAGUGGUCUUGGAAAAUGCUUUAAAACACUGCUUUAUUGGUAUGUUGGUUUGGAUGGGCUUUAUUUGCCAGCCUGGGAAAGGAGAUACGGGCUCUGGAUUUUACACUUGCUCCCUGGUAAGUUGCUAAGACCUCAGCAGAGUUGCUCUCAAAACUUGAUAUUUUGGGCAAUCACCUAAAAGUGUCCUCUGGGAAAGUCAGUGAUUUGUUGCUAAAAAGAAAAUAUGAGAACAGUCUACUUGAAGCUCGGUGCUGGUGGCUCUCCAUGUGUAAUGUCCCAGUUACUCAGCCUCAAGACCUGCAUCUCUAACCAGCAAAAAAUGAUUUGGAGGCAUGGGUCAAGUAGGUAGAGUGCUAGCCUUGAGCAAGAAAGCCAACUAAUUGUGUGAAGCCC